CAGUCGAGCCUGGCGCAGACUCUACCCCCUGAGGAAGCACCUGUCGACCGACCGUAUUGGACCAGCGACGAUCCCGACAUGCCGCUGCCUUUCGAUCUCUCUGACAUCAUCAGCCGGGUGGAGUCACUCCUCUGGAGGAUGUAAAGAUUUUGUCAGACAGUGAAGGAGGCAGAUGAAAGACAGAAAGAGAUCGAGGUACCAUGAAGGAGUGGGUACAGGUGAUCCAAGAAUUGCACUUACCUGGAGAUGAGCACUCACACACACACACACACACACACUCACACACACACACAUAUAUACGCACACACCAACCAGGAGACUCCACCACCGGAUCGAUGGACAGAUGGAAACGAAGAACAGAACUGGGACAAGACUUGGAGUUCUUUUUUUUAUCUUUCUCAUAUCUUCCUUCAUGGCCGUUUAAUGUGUAGUGUUACAAUGAGAACGCAUUUAAACAUUUCAGCAGUAGCUUUCAGAAACCUAGUCAUCCAGCUGUGUACAAUUUUAUUCAUAUUCACCUAGUGUCUUUUAACGAGUCGUGUCUGUCCUGCAUCACAUAUACAGUAUACACAAUGCGCUUCUCAAUGCACUUAUUGCUCGUUAUCUGAAGAUACACAGAGGGUCCCAGCCACCCGGAUGGGAGGGAGGUCAUGUGACUGAAGUCUGGUGAUGUCAUUAAGUGUCAUGGCAUGCUUUAGUUUUCAGUCUUGCGUGUCAGUAUUGUCGAUGAUUGAUUGUGUGUUUGCUUUCGUCUGCAAGUGUGUGUGUGAAGUUGUGGACACAGAAGUGGAUGAGUUUAGAUGUGUGUGUGCGCACAAGCGUGCAUUUGAAAGUGGCAGUGAGGAUGCGUGCCUUUUAGUUUAUAUGUUCCUGUGUGUGUGGCAGUGAGUAUGCCUGCGCUUUGUACUUUUUUUUUUUACUUUUAGUAUUGAUUUCAUCUCAGUGUGUGUGUGAGAUGACCGUAAAAUGAUGGCGUCUUUUUUCCUAAAGCUAUGUCCACAUAGUUUAAAAAAAAAAAGAGUUGGAUGCCACACCCCCUUCACUAUGACUGACAAGCCCAGGCCACACCUCUUUUAUUGGGACCAACAUGGUACGGAAACAGUGUGUGAUCUUUUGUGCACUUUUCUGGCCACUAGCUUCAGGAUCUUGAAGCUUGCAACCUGAUUGGCUCUGCACAUCACCAUGUGACGCUUUCAGUGAGAAAACGCUGCAACAUCGAUAACAUUUCAGAGCAGGAUCCAGUCCCUGGACUCCAAAACGUAUGAGAAAUCCUGUCUUUAAAAAGUUAUCAAUCAAGCUGUCGUGUGAAGUAGGUAGGCCCUGUCUCCAUGCCUCCAGAGAUUAUUAUUUUUUUUUUUGAAAGCAUAGAUUUUACUCCGCCUCCAUUUUUAUAUAAACAAACAACAUUUCUGGAAAUAUCUCCAUCGACACAAAAACAAUUUGAAAACGCUUCCAUGAGUACGCCAGCCCAGUGAGAGGACCUCAUAAACUUGUGUCCAACUCCUCAAGAAUAAAGUUGAGUAUAUUGAGUGUUAGAGGAAAAAAUAAAACAUGAAAGACACUAAAACACCAAAAGUUUUGCGAUUUAAUCGAAUUUGUGAUUCAAUUCCAGAUCACUGAUUUAAAUCAGCGAAUCUUUACACCAGUUUGGUUCUCGAUCUCAGAAGAUACAAGGUUCAUGAGAUGUUUCAUCUUAAACCAUGUGGAUAUAGCUUAAUGAGUUUGUGUAUGAGUGUGUGUGUGUGUGUGUGUGUCCUCCCAGGCUGAUUAGUGUUGAUAGGCAGCUCGGACUGAAUCCUUCACUUCCUGCUUUGCGUAACUCGAACAGCCUUUCCACUCGCUUCCUCUCUCUCUCUCUCUCUCUCUCUCUCUCUCUCUCUCUCUCUCUCUGCUGCCGGCUGAGAAAGGAACACAA
Neoarius graeffei (lesser salmon catfish) is the source of this 1915-nucleotide long non-coding RNA. RefSeq lists it as uncharacterized. The transcript has 2 exons. NCBI's taxonomy places the organism in Eukaryota, Metazoa, Chordata, Actinopteri, Siluriformes, Ariidae. The record is from RefSeq and is a predicted model, not a curated record.